GCUGUCCUCUCCAUCUUUGGGACCAGCCUUUCCUACUGCCACAAAUCCAGCCUGUGCACACUCUGUUCCUUCUCCUGGGAUGCUCUUCCACCCCUGUCCCCAAUGAAUCUCAGACAUCCUUGGUUGUCAGCUAAAGAUGACUUACUGGGAUGACCCCUGAUCCUCUGACCAGGCCAUCCCUGGAGGACAGUGCUUCGUGUCUUGCUCUCUCAUCUGUGCUUAGCAAAGACACACUGUUUGAUGCUAAGCUGAAAACUUGGGAUGGGUGUAGCUUGACACUACAUACAUAAUGCUCAGCUCAGCAUGGCAUGACCGGGUAUGACCAAGCCGUGUGCCAGUCAUGCCAGCAGUUAUCAAUGUGCAGACAGGAGGGCCAGAAGUUCAAAGUUAUCCUUGACUUUAUAGUUCAAGGCUAGCCUGGCCUACAUGAGACCGUGUCUCAAACCAACCAACCAACCAACCAAUCAAACAAGGAUCAGGAGCUGUGCUAGGUGGGCGCUCUGCUGCCACACUCCAGCCCCACACUGCAGGUUUUCCACAGCUUCCUCUAUAGUUCUGAUUGAUUGUUUUUUGAUUCAGGACAAGGCUGUGAAUUUGUGAGGCAGAAUCUACAAGCAAUGAGUGGAGAGCCCAUGCAGCUAAGAAAUCUGUUCCAUGCCCCACAGCUUAUGACUGUGGGACUCUGUGGACAUGAAACCUGGCUUGUAACUUCACACCUUCAUUGGGGUAGCAAGCUGGUCUGAAGCUCAAGACCACAUGAAGCCCUACAGAGUCUGCUUCUCCCUGCUUCCUGUUCCUCUACGUCGCUGGCUCUUUUCACAUCCCUCUUCGGAGCCUCCGGACCCUCUGUGCCCCAACUGCCUCCCACGCCCAUCCCUGCCCUCUUCUGCUUUGGUCCUUGCUCCAGACUGCUGCGCCAUCCUCAGAUUCUACUGCCUGCACUGGGAGGAGUCAGGUUUAUGGCAGAGCAUGUGUGUUGCUGAGAAGCCUCUCUGAUUCACGUUGGAUAUAGCACGAAGGUGUACAAGGAGAAGUGUCUGUCUGUGUGUCCAGCAUCCUGCAAAGGCCCAAGCACCGCAGCAAAGCAAAGAGCUCCAGGCACCCCAGUUUCAUUUCAUUUCCUCCAAAGCCCCUGGGAAUUCUUCUGAGCUCCCGGGGUUGCUGGUGAGCAGAAUCAGACUGGGAAAAGCCAUGCCAGGGGCUCAGCCGAGGGGUGUGAUCCUUGUGCCAAGAUCUCCAGUUUCGUGUUUUGUUUCUUCUGAAACACGCUCUGACCUGUAUAAUUUGAUGUUACUCACAUCUAAAUGCUAAUAAAACAACUGAAAUAUUUGCA
This 1333-nucleotide long non-coding RNA is filed under the name Mus spicilegus (steppe mouse). RNAcentral's name for it is "lncRNA (ENSMSIG00000026774.1)". The record is from RNAcentral. Lineage: Eukaryota; Metazoa; Chordata; Mammalia; Rodentia; Muridae.